GUCCCCUUCGUCUAGUGGCCCAGGACACCGCCCUUUCACGGCGGUAACAGGGGUUCGACUCCCCUAGGGGACG
Molecule: transfer RNA, 73 nt
Organism: Alcanivorax borkumensis SK2
Lineage: Bacteria; Pseudomonadati; Pseudomonadota; Gammaproteobacteria; Oceanospirillales; Alcanivoracaceae
Rfam family: tRNA
About the family: Transfer RNA (tRNA) molecules are approximately 80 nucleotides in length.
Source: Rfam